GGGUACUGUCAGCAUCCUGCUUACGUACCUUGCCUUGACCUACUUGUAUCUAGCUUCUUUGUGCCCAGAUUGGCAAGCUGAGUCAUAAUGACAGCAGUGAAUGCUAAAGAACUGGAUUCUGAGAACUCUGGAAUCCCUGAGGACAGCAGGAUGGAGAAUUCUUAUUAUGGGAUGGAGGGAAAUUAUUGCUAAGGGAACCCCAGUAAGAGUCAUCACACCCACAUUUCUGUCCACUACAUCCUUUCUGAGAUUCAAGUUAGAAGAUAACUCCUGGCUUUCCUGGGAGAAUGAGAAGGACCUCAGCCAGGGAGAUGCCUGCCUGGGGACACAGAGUGCAAAAGACCUCAAAAUAGAUCUUCUCAAGUUACCUGAAGGCAAAAGAGAUGCAGAGACACCAGUAAAAAAGCCUUCUCAAAUCAGAGUCCUUCCUAGGGCUCCAGGCAGGGCAAAGGACCAGAGUGUCCCCUCCCUGCCUUCUCGCCUACAGAAGGGCACUCAGCCAGGGACUGCUCAGAGGGGGUGAAUGGGAUGAUGGUGGUUCUCCAUGUUGGUUGGGCAGUAAUUCAACAAUUCAUUUAAAUUCAGUUAUUAAGCCACAGGUAGCAGGCAGUAACACAGACAUCAGGGAUUCAAAGACAAAAAACAUUAAAAUGCUUGCCUUUAAGACAAGGCAUCUGCUCUGACUUGGAGACCAGUGCAUAAACAUGAUCACAAGUUAGAGGAAGGUGAAGAAAUCAUAAUGAUGCUGCUCAUGGCAGAGGGAUUUGGGGGUUUAUCGAGCAAGUUGGAGGUUUUCAAGUUUUCUAGAAGCACAAUCCUUUGUUUUUCCAAACGAGGUCCUACACAGAACCUCACAGUUUUAGGAAUGAUCUUUCUAAAAUAUUGAUCUGACCACGUCACUCCUUGGCUUAAGGCAAGGGUCUACAAGAUCUUUCUAUAAAGGGCAAGAAAGUAUAUAUUUUAGAUUUUUCAGGCCAGACAGCCUCUGUUGAAACUACUCAGCUCUGUCCUUGCAGAGCUAAUGAAGCCGGACAGAAUAAAUAAAUGAACGGCCAUGGCUGUGUUCAAGAAAACUGCAUUUAUAAAAACAGGCGUAUUUGACCAAUGGGUUGUAGUUUGUUUACCUCUAGCACAGAGUUACUCAGAGGCUCCCCCCUCCUUCGCCUCAGACUCCAGACCUUUCCACAGUCUGAACCCCAGUGCCCAGUUUACCACUCUGUGCCUUCCUCCCACCGCAUCCUCUGCUCCAGCCAAAUGGAACUUUUCCAUGUAACCUGAAAACACCACGGCCCUUCAUAAAGCUAUGUCUUCCCAAUGUGAUGGUGUUAGGAGGUGGGGCCUUUGGGAAGUGAUCGAAUGACGAGGGUGGAGCUCUCAUGAAUGAGAUUAAUGCCUUUACAAAAGAGGCCCAAGAGAGCUCCCUCGUCCCUUCCACCCUGUGAGGAUCCAAUGAGAAGUCUGCAACCCAGAAGAGGGCCCUCGCCCGACCAUGCUGGCAUCCCGAACUUGUACUUCCAGCCUCUAGAACUGGUCCUAGAAAUUUCUCACCUAGAACUGGUGAGAAAGAAAUUUCUGUUGUUUAUAAGCCACCCAGUCUAUGAUAUUUUGUUAUGGCAACCCGAACAGUAUAAGACAUCCCUCAUCUCACUUUUUUUGGCAACCCCUGAUUAUUUUGAGAAGUUGUUUAUUCCUAUGCCCAUCUAUUCCAGCAGAGUCUGAGUUCCUCAAAGGCAGGGACUAUGUCUUCAUUCCCCUCUAGAUCCCAGCUCCCAAGACUAAGGAAUGUUUGAUGGAUAAAACAUACCUCAAAAAGUGGGAGGAAGUAGACUAAAGGGAAACAUAACUUUAUCCCUGUGUCUUGCUGCAUCAGAAUUGUCAUGGUCCAUUAUAAGGCGAUAUCGCCCCUUUAGAUAAAACCUGCAACUUCUAAUAUUUAGCCCCGGUGUUAGAGGCAGCUCUCAGCCAUCCUCUGAGAUUCUAUCACUAUUGCUCCUGCUUCCCACUCUAUUUUUUAUUUCAGGACUGUAAACCUACUUCCCAAAUUCUGUGUCUGCAAAAUCCCUCCUGGGAGCCUCCUUUCCAGAUUCCUCUUCUCUUCCUUCCUCCUCCAUCUGCUCUUUCUUUGUAAAUUUCACUACCAUUCCUCAACCCCUCAAUGCGUACAGAGUGGUGGAGGGUCAUUCCAGUGCUUUUCAUUGAGUAACUGGAAGUUUUGCCUAAAACCACUUAUUCAAUACAUAUUUUUUGAGCAUCUUCCAUGUAUUUAGGACACACCAGUAACCAAGGUAGAUGUACUUCAACCUCUCAAGAAGCUCAAGGUUUAUUGGAGAAGAAAGCAAGGCUGAGGAUUAGUAAGCGUUCCCGUAGAAAGCAGGGUCAUGGAGGCAGAAGCUAUAAACCAUACCUGGGAUGAUGCAGAGGCAGAAAGUUAGGUUAUUCUUCCUUUAUUAAGUGGUAUCUGAGGCAAAGGCUGGAGUGGGCAGAUUAAGUAGGAGUUAGCCAAGUGAGCAGGGACAAAGAGAGCACUGAGCAGGAGGACAGAAAGAGCAAAGACCUGAGAGUAAAAAAGAGGAUAAGUUCAGGGAAUGGAGAAUAAUUCUGUCUCAGAGAAAGCUAUAGCAUGUUCAAAGUUCAUGGCAAGUUUGAUCGGGGCCAACAUCACUAUCCCAGCAGUCGAAUCUGAUGAGUGGGACUCCCAACAGAAAUCUCAGGAAGAGGCAAUACUUGGAGCCAUUCAGAUGGAAGCCAUGUAAUUCCAGGAAGCCUGGAUCAGGGUAGGCUGGGCUACAACCCAGGUCCUAAGCCAAGAGCCAGCAGUUCAUGCAUUUAACAAAUAUGUAUGAGCCGCUGUUAGGUGGAGACAGCUGCAAUGGUGAGAUGGAUAGGCAGCUUUCAGAAGUUCAUCAAGCAGGCUGCAGGGGGUAAAGGGAGCUUGGAAUCAAGGUGUAAUACUGACAGGGGCCCCGAAGAGUCAAUCAGAAAGUAAGACAGAAUGAGGAAAAUAAAGAAGACAAAAGGAAAGCCCCCCAGCUGUGGGAAUCAUGUUGGCAAAACUCUAAUUCCAGAUGCCACUCACUGAUACAUUGGAACUCAUCACUAUUCUCUUCUGCCUGGCUUGGAUAUCGCUGCUUCUUGAAGUCAGUGUUGCUGAGCAUCAUGGCUGCUGUUAUCUCAGUCUAUAGCCAAAUGGCCCUGAGGAGUACAAUAGCUACUUGGCCCAGUUGAGGAAUCCCAAGCUCUGAAACAGUCUAGAGGCUAGCGUUCUUUAGGAUCAGUUUUGCCAGUGACGCUCCUCUUUCUUUCAACAUGGGGCUACAUCUAUCCUUUCAAUUGAAAAAAAGGCCAAAAAACACACCACCAUAGUAAAAUCCUUUUCAUGGAGAUUCCUUUCAGCUUUCUUCUUUAACCUUCAAUAUUCACUCCGCGAACACCUCACAGAGUCUCCUACUAUGCCUUUGGGGUCUUAGGUUAGAGUUCAGCCCUUAAUGAGCCUCCCCACACCGAGAACAGACAGCAAAGGCUGUCUGCCAGGGAGGAUUUACAUAUUCAGCAGCCCAGCUUCUCUUUCCUCUGCUCCGUUCAAGACAGAAGGGGCUGCAGAAGCCUUGAUCUCUGAGUGGUCUCUGGCCACAAGGUGGAGAGAUAAAACAGCUUUGCUGAGAACCCAAGGGAAGACUGAGCUGUGGCUGCCUGAGUCUUAUCAAAAGAAAAACGGUUACAGCACUUCUGUGGAUUUUCAAAAAAUAAAUAACACAGGAAAAAACUUGUAAGAAUAUGAAAUUAAAUUUGCCAAAUAUGCUGAGAGUUGGUCCUUGGAGAAACUUUAUCUCUACUGCAUAGUCAAACACAUCAACUUUGGGGGUGCCUGGAAAUGACUGUGUGGCAUAGAUUCAAUUUGUUCUUGUGUAGACAAUAUUAUCUGGCACCGGGAACAGGAAACUUCAGAACAGAUUUUGGUAAACACAAUUACAAAUUGUGAGGAAGGACUUCUGGGGGCUCUUCAUGGAUGUCACCAACAGGACCAGCUCAAAUCUCCCAACUGGUGGGACUUGUCGAGCAUCCUAGGAAGGAGUGAAGAGGAGACAGCAGCCAUCCUCUGGUGUCUUUGAUGGAUUGGCAUUUCUCAAAUUCAAGGCUGGAUAAUCGGUGGAAAAAAGCUGAAAUGUACUAAUGUGGCAUAUCCAUAAAGACCAGAAAGCCAGUUUUGUUUUCCCUAAAACAGAUUUUAGUCAUUUUGGGGAAUAACUUUUACUCACUUGUGUGUAUAAACACAUACAUGCUCACUUAUCCAAAACUGUAACAAUUCCAUUUGGAAGAAGGACAUGGCGUAGCCAUGAAGCCUCCGCCAAUUUCAGGCGAAUGUUAAAUACUGUUAAGGGGAGAGUAAUGUGGAUGUUUAAGGAAGCUGCCCUGUUGGGACAAGAAGGCCAUGGUCAGUAUUUACAGGCCAGAGAUUGUGUUGGCAGCAUUAACAUUAAUUGUGAGGCCACCUGGGGCUUUUAGGUUGUCCCUUCCUCAAGACAGCCAUGCCACACAGCCCUCAAGGGGAUGGCAGAGCCCUGCCAAGUGCACCUGGCAUGGAGCAUGUGGGCAGUGGGGGCUGGCACAGCGUCCAUCCUGGCUGAGCAAGGUAAGCUGGCAGAUGUUGGCUCCAACACAGACGGUGCCCAGGGGAGAGGCAGCCACUGGUGUCAGGAUUUGCUAAUUGCAUUGCCUCUUGGCA
Equus caballus (horse) is the source of this 4723-nucleotide long non-coding RNA. NCBI's taxonomy places the organism in Eukaryota, Metazoa, Chordata, Mammalia, Perissodactyla, Equidae. The record is from Ensembl.